CAGCAGCCGCGGGAAUACGAAGGGGGCUAGCGUUGUUCGGAAUUACUGGGCGUAAAGGGCGCGUAGGCGGCCAUUCAAGUUAGAUGUGAAAGCCCUGGGCUCAACCUAGGAAUUGCAUUUGAUACUGUUUGGCUUGAGUUCGGGAGAGGUGAGUGGAAUUCCCAGUGUAGAGGUGAAAUUCGUAGAUAUUGGGAAGAACACCAGUGGCGAAGGCGGCUCACUGGACCGACACUGACGCUGAGGCGCGAAAGCGUGGGGAGCAAACAGGAUUAGAUACCCCCGUAGUCCCUGUCUCUUAUAC
RNAcentral lists this ribosomal RNA (301 nucleotides) under uncultured bacterium. Its description in RNAcentral is "partial 16S ribosomal RNA". It matches the Rfam family "Bacterial small subunit ribosomal RNA", at positions 509 to 807 of the family's 1533-position model. The record is from RNAcentral.